This 443-nucleotide ribosomal RNA is filed under the name uncultured bacterium. RNAcentral's name for it is "partial 16S ribosomal RNA". It matches the Rfam family "Bacterial small subunit ribosomal RNA", at positions 338 to 795 of the family's 1533-position model. The record is from RNAcentral.
CCUACGGGCGGCAGCAGUGGGGAAUAUUGGGCAAUGGGCGCAAGCCUGACCCAGCAACGCCGCGUGAACGAAGAAGGCCCUCGGUUUGUAAACUUCUUUUGUCAGGGACGAAACAAAUGACGGUACCUUACGAAUAAGCCACUGCUAACUUCUGGCCAGCAGCCGCGGUAAUACGUAGGUGGCAAGCGUUAUCCGGAUUUACUGGGUGUAAAGGGCGUGUAGGCGGGAGAGCAAGUCAGAUGUGAAAUUCCAGGGCUCAACCCUGGAACUGCAUUUGAAACUGUUUUUCUUGAGUGAUGGAGAGGCAGGCGGAAUUCCGUGUGUAGCGGUGAAAUGCGUAGAUAUAAGGAGGAACACCAGUGGCGAAGGCGGCCUGCUGGACAUUAACUGACGCUGAGGCGCGAAAGCGUGGGGAGCAAACAGGAUUAGAUACCCCAGUAGUC